This 468-nucleotide ribosomal RNA is filed under the name uncultured bacterium. Its description in RNAcentral is "partial 16S ribosomal RNA". It matches the Rfam family "Bacterial small subunit ribosomal RNA", at positions 28 to 507 of the family's 1533-position model. The record is from RNAcentral.
GACGAACGCUGGCGGCGUGCUUAACACAUGCAAGUCGAACGGAAAGGCCCUGCUUUUGUGGGGUGCUCGAGUGGCGAACGGGUGAGUAACACGUGAGUAACCUGCCCUUGACUUUGGGAUAACUUCAGGAAACUGGGGCUAAUACCGGAUAGGAGCUCCUGCUGCAUGGUGGGGGUUGGAAAGUUUCGGCGGUUGGGGAUGGACUCGCGGCUUAUCAGCUUGUUGGUGGGGUAGUGGCUUACCAAGGCUUUGACGGGUAGCCGGCCUGAGAGGGUGACCGGCCACAUUGGGACUGAGAUAGGGCCCAGACUCCUACGGGAGGCAGCAGUGGGGAAUAUUGCACAGUGGGCGGAAGCCUGAUGCAGCAACGCCGCGUGCGGGAUGACGGCCUUCGGGUUGUAAACCGCUUUCGCCUGUGACGAAGCGUGAGUGACGGUAAUGGGUAAAGAAGCACCGGCUAACUACGUG